GAUGAACGCUGGCGGCGUGCCUAAUACAUGCAAGUCGAGCGAACAGACGAGGAGCUUGCUCCUCUGACGUUAGCGGCGGACGGGUGAGUAACACGUGGAUAACCUACCUAUCAGACUGGGAUAACUUCGGGAAACCGGAGCUAAUACCGGAUAAUAUAUUGAACCGCAUGGUUCAAUAGUGAAAGACGGUUUUGCUGUCACUUAUAGAUGGAUCCGCGCCGCAUUAGCUAGUUGGUAAGGUAACGGCUUACCAAGGCAACGAUGCGUAGCCGACCUGAGAGGGUGAUCGGCCACACUGGAACUGAGACACGGUCCAGACUCCUACGGGAGGCAGCAGUAGGGAAUCUUCCGCAAUGGGCGAAAGCCUGACGGAGCAACGCCGCGUGAGUGAUGAAGGGCUUCGGAUCGUAAAACUCUGUUAUUAGGGAAGAACAAAUGUGUAAGUAACUAUGCACGUCUUGACGGUACCUAAUCAGAAAGCCACGGCUAACUACGUG
Molecule: ribosomal RNA, 497 nt
Filed under: uncultured bacterium
Lineage: Bacteria
Description: partial 16S ribosomal RNA
Rfam family: Bacterial small subunit ribosomal RNA
Source: RNAcentral